Molecule: long non-coding RNA, 1472 nt
Organism: Aethalodelphis obliquidens (Pacific white-sided dolphin)
Lineage: Eukaryota; Metazoa; Chordata; Mammalia; Artiodactyla; Delphinidae
Exons: 2
Source: RefSeq, a predicted model, not a curated record
CGCCACCAGGGAAGCCCUGUGAUGAGGGUUUUUUUAAAAAAUGUGUUUAUUUUAAAAAUACUUCAUUGUGCCAAGGCCAUGAACUAUUUUAAGAACUUUAUAAAAUUUAGCCAACUACUCCUUAUUGUUUUAAGCACUUUAUCAAUUUUAACUCAUGUAAAUUUUUAAAAUUUUUUUUGGUUGCACUAUGUGGCUUACAGGAGCUCAGUUCCCUGACCAGGGAUUAAACCCAGGCCAUGGCAGUGAAAGCCUGAAAUCCUAACCACUAGGCCACCAGGGAACUCCCUAACUCAUGUAAUCCUGAGGUGGGUGUUCCUGUUUUACACUUGAGUAAACUGAGGCACAGAGAUUCUGAAUCACAUGCCCACUGUCACACAGUAAGAAGAUAAAAGGAGAAUGUGUGCAAAACACUUGUCAGUCCUUGCCCCCUAGUAAGGGCCAGACACAGGCUGUUAUUUUUGGAGUUGUGCUGUCACAGGGAGUAGGUGCUGCUGUGGGUGGGUGUUCACAGGGAGGAAGGUGAGAGCCUGUUGAUAACCAUUUCCUGGUUUUAAACUUAAAGUUGAUUUCAUUCUGAAGAUCUCAUGUGUUUAUCCCCUGAGACUUCCUAGUGCCUUUUCUUUGCAGUCCUUCCAUUUCAUCCUGUGCAGUCAUCUCCCAGGCUCAGAGGGGUGAAGCCAUUCCCAAGGUUGGCAGAUCUCACCGGCCUUCCAUGACUGAGGCUGCGACUGGAGGCCAGGAAUGCUGCUGGGUGGAAUGUGAGUGAAUGGGUCCUUGAAGCUGCUCUCUGGGGCCCAAUCUCAGCUUCCUGGAGUUCCUGAAUGAACAUCUGUCCUGGCUCACUCAGUUGCAGAAGACCCAUUGACCAAACCAGCUUUGCAAUCGUCAGUGGCUGCAGGCCCAGCGUGCAGCCCAGUGCUCUGCACUUCUUGUUUAGAACCCGCAGCGUGUAGGCAUCGCCUUGCUUGCACAGUUUUUCUGAUUCUCAUUGCAUUCCUCUGAGGAUUAUCUGGCCCAUUUUUUUAGAUAAGGUGGAUACCCAAGUCCAGUGAGGGCUCUGGAAGGCCAGAGCAGCUCUUCUAUUCCUGGUGACCACACUGUCCUCACCACUUUGCCAGACCAGACUGUGAAAUGGGGAGAAAUGCUCCUGUUGUGAGAUUGCUGGGAAAACCGGGCAUGUCUUGGUGCUUUCAGGCUCACUGUAAUUUUAAAGACUUGCAUGAAGAGGGCUCUAGGAGGAGUAGACAUUAAGAAAUUUCACUUUCAGUUCCACCAGCUGCUUGAAAUGAGCACUUAUUACCAUGUAGCCCAGAGGAGGCUACUAAUGAUUAGACCCAUUUCACGUUUUAAAAUUACAUAUUGUAUUAAGAGAAUGUGUACAAAAGUUAUAUUAGGAUACUUGAAAUAUGUGAUAUACUGUAAUUAUAGCAAUCUUUACAGAUAAUAUUUCAUUUAUCCUUAUAAUGCAAAAA